UACGUAGGGUGCAAGCGUUGUCCGGAAUUACUGGGCGUAAAGGGCGCGUAGGCGGACAGUUUAGUCAGAGGUGAAAGCCCAGGGCUCAACCUUGGAAUUGCCUUUGAUACUGGCUGUCUUGAGUUCGGGAGAGGUGAGUGGAACUGCGAGUGUAGAGGUGAAAUUCGUAGAUAUUCGCAAGAACACCAGUGGCGAAGGCGGCUCACUGGCCCGAUACUGACGCUGAGGCACGAAAGCGUGGGGGAGCAAACAGG
This 254-nucleotide ribosomal RNA is filed under the name uncultured bacterium. RNAcentral's name for it is "partial 16S ribosomal RNA". It matches the Rfam family "Bacterial small subunit ribosomal RNA", at positions 524 to 776 of the family's 1533-position model. The record is from RNAcentral.